This 64-nucleotide transfer RNA is filed under the name Phraortes sp. Miyako Island. Its description in RNAcentral is "tRNA-Pro". The record is from RNAcentral. Lineage: Eukaryota; Metazoa; Arthropoda; Insecta; Phasmatodea; Lonchodidae. RNAcentral also lists the same sequence under 1 other name.
CAAAAGGUAGUUUAUAUAAAAUAUUAAUUUUGGAGAUUAAUGAUAAGUUUAUUCUUUCUUUUGA